GUUUCUAUAGUAUAAAAAAAUACAUAUCCGUUUCAAAGAUAAGAUAAAUUAAUUAUUUAGAAAUA
Molecule: transfer RNA, 65 nt
Filed under: Macrocheles muscaedomesticae
Lineage: Eukaryota; Metazoa; Arthropoda; Arachnida; Mesostigmata; Macrochelidae
Description: tRNA-Glu
Source: RNAcentral